UACGAGUGGCCCAAGCGUUAUCCGGAAUUAUUGGGCGUAAAGGAUGUGUAGGUGGUUGUAUUAGUCUGGUCUCUAACCUCUGAGCUCAACUUGGAGACAGCAUUGGAAACGGUACGGCUAGAGUAUGUUAGGGGUAAGCGGAACUAAUAGUGUAGGGGUGAAAUCCGUUGAUAUUAUUGGGAACACCAAAAGCGAAGGCAGCUUACUGGAACAUUACUGACACUGAGGCACGAAAGCGUGGGGAGCAAACAGG
This 253-nucleotide ribosomal RNA is filed under the name uncultured bacterium. RNAcentral describes it as "partial 16S ribosomal RNA". It matches the Rfam family "Bacterial small subunit ribosomal RNA", at positions 524 to 776 of the family's 1533-position model. The record is from RNAcentral.